UACGUAGGGUGCAAGCGUUAAUCGGAAUUACUGGGCGUAAAGCGUGCGCAGGCGGAUAGAUAAGUCAGACGUGAAAGCCCCGAGCUUAACUUGGGAACGGCGUUUGAAACUGUUUAUCUAGAAUAUGUCAGAGGGGGGUGGAAUUCCACGUGUAGCAGUGAAAUGCGUAGAGAUGUGGAGGAACACCGAUGGCGAAGGCAGCCCCCUGGGAUAAUAUUGACGCUCAUGCACGAAAGCGUGGGGAGCAAACAGG
RNAcentral lists this ribosomal RNA (253 nucleotides) under uncultured bacterium. RNAcentral's name for it is "partial 16S ribosomal RNA". It matches the Rfam family "Bacterial small subunit ribosomal RNA", at positions 524 to 776 of the family's 1533-position model. The record is from RNAcentral.